UUGUGGAGGAGGACGCCGAAGGUGGGGCUAAUGACUGGGGUGAAGUCGUAACAAGGUAGCCGUACCGGAAGGUGCGGCUGGAUCACCUCCUAACAGGGAGACAACAAAAUGUUUAAUAUUAUUAUUUUGUCACCUUAGGUCGAUCGGUAUCUCACGUUUUUAAUUCAUUAAGAAUUUCAUUUCCUAAGUUUUUCUAGGUCACACCCAUUAUUUUUCCUGGGCCAUUAGCUCAGGUGGUUAGAGCGCACCCCUGAUAAGGGUGAGGUCCCUGGUUCAAGUCCAGGAUGGCCCAUAUCUCUAUGUUGGGGGUAUAGCUCAGUUGGUAGAGCGCCUGCUUUGCAAGCAGGAUGUCAGCGGUUCGAGUCCGCUUACCUCCACUGAUUACCACCUCUUCCAUAAUCUGUAGAAAGGAAAUGUUUUGAGUUGUGAUCAAAUUCUGAACGAAUCUAGCUUCCUAAUUAAAUAAUUAAGAUGCUGGACUCAUUGAAUUAAUUUCAUUGUUUUCAGAGAACCUUGACAACUGCAUAGAUUAUUUUUAAAGACAAUAAGCAUCUUUAAUGAUGCAGAUUUAUUAUUUGUGCGAAUGCAUUAAUAACAAUUCUAUUAAGCUGAUGCUUCAAUUUUGAAGUUAUUGGUCAAGCUACAA
RNAcentral lists this unclassified non-coding RNA (646 nucleotides) under uncultured Prochlorococcus sp. RNAcentral describes it as "partial 16S-23S ribosomal RNA intergenic spacer; may also contain 16S ribosomal RNA and 23S ribosomal RNA". The stretch from base 305 to 377 matches the Rfam family "tRNA". The record is from RNAcentral. Lineage: Bacteria; Bacillati; Cyanobacteriota; Cyanophyceae; Synechococcales; Prochlorococcaceae.